GCGGUGGAGCAUGUGGUUUAAUUNGAAGCAACGCGAAGANCCUUACCAAAUCUUGACAUCNUNUGACCCCUCUAGAGAUAGAGUUUUCCCCNUUCGGGGGACAGAGUGACAGGUGGUGCAUGGUUGUCGUCAGCUCGUGUCGUGAGAUGUUGGGUUAAGUCCCGCAACGAGCGCAACCCUUAAGCUUAGUUGCCAUCAUUAAGUUGGGCACUCUAAGUUGACUGCCGGUGACAAACCGGAGGAAGGUGGGGAUGACGUCAAAUCAUCAUGCCCCUUAUGAUUUGGGCUACACACGUGCUACAAUGGACAAUACAAAGGGUAGCGAAACCGCGAGGUCAAGCAAAUCCCAUAAAGUUGUUCUCAGUUCGGAUUGUAGUCUGCAACUCGACUAUAUGAAGCUGGAAUCGCUAGUAAUCGUAGAUCAGCAUGCUACGGUGAAUACGUUCNNNNGUCUUGUACACNCCGCCCGUCACACCACGAGAGUUUGUAACACCCGAAGCC
RNAcentral lists this ribosomal RNA (501 nucleotides) under uncultured Staphylococcus sp. RNAcentral's name for it is "bacterial SSU rRNA". It matches the Rfam family "Bacterial small subunit ribosomal RNA", at positions 929 to 1428 of the family's 1533-position model. The record is from RNAcentral. Lineage: Bacteria; Bacillati; Bacillota; Bacilli; Caryophanales; Staphylococcaceae.